UCGUCCUCUCGUUGAUUUUCAACUUAUCAAGCCCACACAGCCCAGUCUGGCCAUCAAUUUACGGAAGCAACCUCUAUUUAUCGGUAGACAGACAGUAUACGAGUAUCAAACAGACAAACACACAAGGAACAAUUCUGAACUUCGUUUUGUGCCAUCUAUCUCUGAACUGUCUGUGUGUGUGUGUGUGUGUCGGAAUAGUCCCUGUCUAUAGCAGCAGCAGCAACAAUCUAGUGUACUUUAAGGCACAAAUGUUCUGAAUCUGAAAAAAAGGUGAUCAUCCGAAACGAACUGAAGUUUGCAAAGUAGUAGUAAGAAGCUGUAUUUGCGAUUUGCUUCUUUCCAGUCUCUUCCUUAGCGAAUAGCGACCCAGUAUACCCAUAGGUAUGAUAACGCCCCGCACGUGCACGCACAUGGAAGCAUGUGCCUCCUACAGUCCUACUCCCUCCUGCACGCCCGACAUGACACGAGGCUGCCUAGCUCACACGUAGGACUUGACCGCGUCGCUGUACCCCGUGAGCCCGUCGUAGUACCUCGACCAGAGCAUGAUGCCCCCGUACUUGGUGGAGUUCUU
This 571-nucleotide long non-coding RNA is filed under the name Zea mays. RNAcentral's name for it is "long non-coding RNA (ZMAY_LNC001933)". The record is from RNAcentral. Lineage: Eukaryota; Viridiplantae; Streptophyta; Magnoliopsida; Poales; Poaceae.